This 4629-nucleotide long non-coding RNA is filed under the name Brassica napus (rape). Its description in RNAcentral is "long non-coding RNA (BNAP_LNC016078)". Lineage: Eukaryota; Viridiplantae; Streptophyta; Magnoliopsida; Brassicales; Brassicaceae. The record is from RNAcentral.
UUCUCUGUCACCGUCAACGGUUUUACUCUCUUGAAGAACUUCCGUGCCGAUUUAACGGCAAAGGCUUCUCAUGAUGCGUCCAUAUUUAAGGAGUUCAUAGUCCCUGUUUCGAGUGGAUACACGAUGCUAAAUCUCACGUUCUCACCUUCUUUAAACAUGUUAGCUUUCGUGAACGGCAUCGAGAUUGUCUCCAUGCCUGAUCGGUUUUACUCCAAGGGAGGCUUCGACGACAAAAUAAAACAGGUAGGUAAUAGCAUUGACUUCGAGAUAAACAACAGCACGGCUUUCGAAACUGUUCACCGGCUAAACAUCGGUGGACAACUGAUUGACGGCAUAAGUGAUACAGGGAUGUUCCGGCCGUGGCUUGCUGAAAAGUUUCAACUAAGUGAAAAGUCGGGAAUCGUGCCAGUCGUUCCGGGUGUAAAGAUCAACUACAUGGAGAAUACUCCAGCGUAUGUCGCGCCGGAAGAUGUGUACACGACGUACCGUACAAUGGGUAACGCCGAGCAUCCUAGGCUGAACCAGAACUUCAAUCUGACAUGGCUCUUCCCAGUUGAUGCCGGGUUUAACUACCUCGUCAGGCUUCAUUUCUGUGAGACUCUAUCGGAUGUGAACGGACCGGGCCAACGUGUCUUCACCAUCUUCAUUGGAAAUAAGAUUGCAAAGCUUGACAUGGAUGUCAUUCAGCUGAGCGGUGGUUCUCGCAUUCCGGUGUAUCUAGACUUCAGUGUGCUUGUUGGUUUUGAAAGUGGGCCGCGACCUGAUCUACGACUUGACUUGCAUCCUUACACGGACAGUGGCCCAAAGUAUUACGAUGCUAUUCUCAAUGGCGUAGAGAUCCUCAAGCUUAGUGUCUCUGGCGGAAAUCUUGCUGGACCUAAUCCUAAUCCUACGUCAGGUCUUACUCCAAACUCUGUAAAUCAAGAUAUACAAAAACCCAAAGCCAAGUCACACGUUUUGGUAAUAACACUUGGAACUGUUGGGUUUGCAAUUGUGUUAGCAAUGUUUAUUGUUGUUGUCAUCGUCAUGAAGAGGAGGAAGAAGAAAAAGAAGGUUAAUGUAGACACCAAGAGCAAGCCUACGGACUCGUGGACUACUCUUCCGCUUGUUGCCGGGUCCUCCCAUACCAGAUCGACCACAUCUCUUCCAUCCGAUCUCUGCCGUCGGUUCUCCAUCCUCGAGAUCAAAUCCGCCACAAACAAUUUCGAGAAAAAGCUGAUCGUUGGAGUAGGCGGGUUUGGUCCUGUCUACAAAGGAAGAAUCGACGGUGGAGCCACGCUUGUGGCUGUUAAACGGUUAGAUGUUUCAUCCAACCAAGGCGCUACCGAGUUCGAAGCAGAGCUCAAGAUGCUCUCGGUGCUCCGUCAUAUACAUCUCGUUUCCUUAAUCGGAUAUUGCGACGAUGUUCCUCUCUCUCUCUCUCUCUCUCUCUCUCUCUCUCUCUCUCUCUCUCUCUCUCUCACGAAACGUACAACUAGUUAAACUGGUACAACUAUUAGCAGUUGUACAACAAAUAAUUGCUUGGCUACAACAGCGACAAAAAUGCUAGCGACAACGACUACGAAGAAACCAUCUACGAAGAAAGAAGCGACGAAGAAAGCAACAGUGAGGGAAGCAGAAACGAGGGAAACGAAAACGAGGGAAGUGAUAAAUGAGUUUUGCUUAUGUGUUAUGAACAUUGCUUAUGUGUUGUGGAACUUAUUCAUGUGUUAGGGAUGCUAUUUAUGUGUUUUUAAACUUUGCAAUGGAGAAAAUUUGUAAUGUAUUGUUUCUGUCAGAUAUUACUGGUACAAUUGGUACUUCAUAUAAUACACAUUCAUGUUUAUGUGUUAUAACACUGGAAAAACUAGUACAACUAUACAAGUUGUAAAGUCUUUAGAAUGGUACAUCCUAACUAUUAGAAGUUUUAUCAAAAAAAAUCCGCAAUUAUAAACAAUCACAUAAGUUUCCAUUAUUUACCUUAUAAUUUAAAGGUUUGUUUACUUGUUUGUUCACUAUAUUUUUGAAAAAUAUACACUGGAUAUAUUUUAACAAAGUUAAUGAUUCCAUAGUAUGUGAUUCUAGGUAUUUAAAUAUAUACAAGUAGUACAACUGAUGUAUCUUUAUUUAAUAUUUGGUACAACUAGAUAUUUCAAAUUCUGGACCAAAAUACAACUAUGUACAAACUUGUACAACCCAAAACUCGGUACAACUAUGUAUACGAUUGUACAACUAAAAUAUUGGUACAACUACAUGUUAAUAAAUUUGGCACAUUUUAAUUGUUUACCACAUUUAAAUGCUCACUACGUUUUAAACAUGAUAGUUUUACCUUCUUUCGUUUAGUUGUACAAAUUGUACCCGUCAGAGUAAUUUUGUCAUAGUUAAUCUGGUUAAUUUAAUUAUACCAAAAACCUGUCAAGUUUAAACCUUUUGAAUUAACCCUAAAAACUUUUAAAUGUGCACUUUAACCUAUAUGGUAUUAUGCAUAUGCAAUAGAAACAUUUAGAUUCAUCUUAAAUAGUUUAAAUGUCUAAAAAAUGUUAAAAUGUAUUAAAUUCAUGAGAUAUAAAUAUUUCAUGUUUUAAACAUGAUUUUGUAUCAUUCAUUUAUUUUCUGGUAAAACCAUUCAUUUACUGGUAAAACUGGCAUAACAUUACAUUGUAUCCAAAAUUGUAUUUCUAGUAUAACUGUCAUUUCAAAAUUGAGAAAAUAGUGUGGGUUAUUGGUUAUACUAUUUUGAUAGAUUUACAAUUUUUUUAGAUUUAGAAAUCUUUGAUAAAUCCAUGAUUUUUAAAUCAAACAAGUGGAUUUUAAGAAUAAUUUAUGUAUUGCAAAAUCUAAAUAGAUUACUACCCAAUGUUAAAACAACAUAACUCAAGUUCUAGCACAAUUAAACUAGUAAUACUACUAUUGUAUCUAAACUAGUUGUACCACUUAUAUUAUUAUUGUCGUAGUCCAAACACCAAACAUGAAUGUUUAUGCAUCAUUUUCGAACUCAAAAAUGAUUUUUACAUAUUCCUUUGCACUUUGUUCUACUAAAUCUUCAUCUACUGUAAUUUUUUUCUAGCUUGCCAUCCACCGUCUUCGGCUUCGGAAGCAAAAAGAUGAAGAUGCAUAUUUUUUUGAAAAUAGUACAACUAGUAUAACUAGUACAACUUGCAAAUAAAUCAUUAUUAAAAUCAAAUAUUAUUGAAAAUUUACUAUUCAUGUAUUUUGACACAUGCAAGCGGGGAAGGUUAGAUCAACAUGUCUCAUUGGUUUCACAUCAUCCACUUUUCUAGCAUCACUCAUAUGCUGAAAUAAAAACGAAAUAUUGUCAUACUAAUUACAAAGUUAUACUAGUUAUACGCGUUUUAGUUGUACCAGUUAUACUUAAUGUAUUAGUACUAGUUAUAUUUGUUUUAGUUGUACUAGUUAUACUAGUGCGCGUUGUACUAGUUGUAUUAGUUAGAGUCAUACUAGUUGUACUGUACGCUGGGUUUUUUUUUGUCAUGAAUUUCGUGAGAAAAAAAUAAAAUUCAAUUUUUGAUAAGACAUAAUUGGUUACAUACAACUAUGGGUUGACCAAUUUUGGAUAAGAAAAAGAAAGUUAGUGAAUAUUUGAAGGAAAUUUUUGAUUUUUUAAAGGUGAAAGAAACAUCCAUGGAAAAAUAAAAAAAAGGAAGAAGAAAAAGAUGUUAUGUUGAUAACGAUGUGUGUCCCAGAAUUUGAUCCCAUAGAAUCGUAGAAACCGUGUUAUGUUGCAUCAUUUUAAAGUGGAAUGACACACGAACAAGUUGGACGUAUAACGACAAGGUGCUAAAUUAAAAGACAUGGAAGAAGUUUCGUCGGAAACUUCUUCUUUUGCUUGAGCUGAAAAGUCAGUUAAGGGUUGACCCGUUGACUUACUCACCACCACCCAUGGUUUUGCUUCAGUUUCUUAUCUUCUUCUUUACCAUUCACAAUAUCAUUCAACAACUCUCACUCUAUCAGUUCCUAUGACUUUUCAAGUUUUCUUAAUCUUCUCCAUUCUCGUUUCUACAGCCAUAGCAGGAGACGGUGCAACCGCUGCGUACGUUCCCACUGAUAUCUUUCUCUUCAACUGUGGCGAAACAUCCAACCAGAUGGACAUAAGUGGCCGUAACUGGAUGGCAGAGCAACCAAAUAUUCUUCCGUCAAAUGCAGCCAUAGCGUCGUUUGUUUCACAUGCGUCAUUCCAAGGAUCGGGAGUUCCUCAGGUUCCGUACAUGACUGCUCGAAUUUUCCGACAUGAUUUCACCUACAGUUUUCCCGUGUCUCCGGGCUGGAAGUUCCUCCGGUUAUACUUUUACCCUACCCGUUACAGUUCCGACCUCGAAGCUGCCGUAAACUCCUACUUCUCUGUCACCGUCAACGGUUUUACUCUCUUGAAGAACUUCCGUGCCGAUUUAACGGCAAAGGCUUCUCAUGAUGCGUCCAUAUUUAAGGAGUUCAUAGUCCCUGUUUCGAGUGGAUACACGAUGCUAAAUCUCACGUUCUCACCUUCUUUAAACAUGUUAGCUUUCGUGAACGGCAUCGAGAUUGUCUCCAUGCCUGAUCGGUUUUACUCCAAGGGAGGCUUCGACGACAAAAUAAAACAGGUAGGUAAUAGCAUUGACUUCGAGAUAAACAACAGCACGGCUUUCGAAACUG